RNAcentral lists this long non-coding RNA (3061 nucleotides) under Homo sapiens (human). RNAcentral's name for it is "HSALNT0394192". Lineage: Eukaryota; Metazoa; Chordata; Mammalia; Primates; Hominidae. The record is from RNAcentral.
GCGACAGAGCGAGACUCCGUCUCAAAAAGAAAAAAAAAGAAAAAAAAGAGGGCAGGAAGAGGAAACAACAGUUGCGGAGCUGGACUUGAUGGAAGGGAGCAUUUGCGUGCGGCGCGCAGGGCACUGAGUCACCAUCGUGGCCGCGUCCUCGCGCUCUCCUAGCGAUUUCUCCGGAGAAAGCGGAGCAAGGUCAGCCGGGCAGCCCUUCAAGGACGGCGCGCCGCUCCUGCAUGCUGAUGGCCUGCGGGGCUGCCUGCCCGUGCCCCGGCGCCCAACUCCUACAAGGAAGAAAUUCAGGGGCUCCCCGCCCCCGCCACAGUCCUCUUCCCCCUCCCCAGCUGCAACUCGGCAGCCGUUCGUCAAAGACCCUGUUGUCACCGAGACACUGGGACCUUGUCUCAUCCUUGGAACCACUCGUAAAUCUUAGGUCAGGCAGCCGGCAGCCUUCGGGGACCACAGUCCCCCCAAAGCUUUAGGAAGCCAGUUACUACAUCCGGAAAGAUUCGUGCUUCAGAACGCAAGCCAGGGAGAAUAAUCACAGAAACGCAAUGCGAAUGUCGUGCCUCUCAGAAAUUCUUAGCCUGAAAUACCGUCCCCACCCCCCAACCCGGCCAGGCGACAGUCCUGUCAUCCUAACACCGCAGAGGCUCCAAGCGCUGGGAGUCGUGUGCCCGCGGCGCUCGCCACUGAGGCCGGUUGGAAGAUUCUAGGGUGCCCCUUCCCAGGUUCCAGCAGGCACUCCGGGAUGUUCUAGAGUCAGGCCAGGGAUUCAACAGCGAACCUGACCGAAACUCAAACCUCAGCACAAGAACUUUGAUGGGGGAAGUGCCCAGACUCCAAUACUCUCGACCUUGGCAUUUAGUAGUUUCUUCUUUGAACUGGAAAGAUCAAAUAAUGCACAGUAAAAUCUCAUGAUAAGGGUUCCACCAAGAAUUCGGGAUUUGUGUUAAUUCAUAAGGCAGAAGUGGCCCCUGUGCUAUCCAUGAAGAGUUUCUGUAUUUCUCUGCAAGGUCACAGGUAGGCUUUUUAACCAAUUAAAGAAAAACUCCAACAUUUAGAGGGCCCAUUAUUAUAAUAAUUCCUGUAUUUGUUUGCUGUCUGGCACAUAAAAACGUGCUUCACUUGCAUAUAUUAAUGAAUUUUCACCUCCUAGCCCCUGGCUAACCCAUUUUACAGCUGAAAGGACUAAAGCAACAGAUGCCCAAAGUAACUCACCUAGCAACAAGUCUUGGGAUUCUGAGAUGAGGUUCUUUCUCCCACACACACAGGCAGGCUGGCUUCUUGGGAGUGGGACUUGUUCAUUUGUCCCCACCACCACCAUUGAUUUUGACUGAUUGCUCCACUCUUGCUGUCUUCAAACUUUUGAACAAGGGGGUUUGCAUUUCUCUUUGCACUGGGCCAAAUUAUGAGGUAGGUCCUACACACAGGCUCCAAGAUGACAGUACUAAUUUUUCACUAAUUUUUCUCUACUUGGUGCUCAAGUGUAGAGUUUGAGGGGUACUAUCAUCUUCACUCCAGGCAAGGCACUGUUGUUUCUUUUGUAUUCCUGCUUAUUCUCCACCCCAUCAGGUGCUCACUCUGAUACCUGUCUUUGAGUGCUGUUUUCUUGGAAAAACAAAUCUAUUUUCAAGAAAUGAAUCAAAAUUAUCCUAAGAACUUUUUAAUUGCAAUAUAAUGCAUUUACAGAAAAGUACACAAAUCAUAAAUGUUCAGGUCGCUGUGUUUUCACAAGCUGAACACACCCAUGUAACCAGUACACAGAUCAAUUAUCGGCCCCCAGGAGUCCCCUCAUGUUCCUAUCUGGUUACUAUGUACUCAAGAGUAACCACUGUUCUGAAUCCUAACCCCAAAGAUCAGUGCUUCCUGUUUUGUGUUUUAUAUAAAUGCAAUUAUACAUUAUAUAUUAUUUUGUGUCUGCCUUCUUUUGCUUAACGUUGCUAUGAGAUUUAUCCAUGCUGUUGCAUGUGGUGGGCAGAAUUACAAGAAGACCCCCAAGAUUCCUCACCCCUUCUUGUAUGCACAUUCCCAUAGGUAUUGAUCUAGGCGCUGCUGUGAAGGGAAUUUGCAGAUGUAAUUGGCCUAAAUCAGUUGGCUUUAAUAUCAGGAAAUUGUCCUCAGUGGGCAUGGCCAUAUGGAGCCCUUACAAGGGACUGGGCUCUUCCUGGUGAAAAAGAUUUGAAUCACGAGAGUGGCUGAUAUGAGGGAAAUUCUUUGCUGUUGCCUUCGAAGACAGAAGAGGUCCACAAGGCAAAGGAUGCAGACAGCCUGUAGGAGCUGAGACUGGCUCCUGGCUGACAGCCAGCAAGGAAAUGAGGACCUCAGUCCUCCAAUCAUGAAGCAGACUCCGACUUCUGCUAACAACCUGAAUACACUUCAAAGAGGAUUCUGAGCUCCAGCCGCCUACACAUUGAUUUCAGCUGUUGGGACCCUCAGCCGAGAACCCAGCUAUGCCGUGCCCAGAUGUAAGACCUACACAUCUGUGAGCUUCAGGAGAAUGUGAGCAUGGCACAUGGCAAUCCAGAAAAAAGACUGCAUUUCCCAGCCUCCCUUACAGCUGCUGAGACCACAGGGCUAAGUUCCUGCCAAUGAGAGGUAGGCAUCAAUUUGCAACUUACAGGAACCUUUCUGAGGAGGAUUAGCCUUUGUCCCUCCUUUUCCUCCCUUCCUCCAUCCUGCUGCUUGGUUUGUGAAUGCUGCUACCUUAGACCAUAAGGACAGAAAACAUGUCCCGGGACUGGCAGAGCAGUAAGCCAAAAGGAACCAGGGUCCCGUAAGACGAUGGAGCAGAGCCUUUUUACCAGCCCUGGAUAGCAAAGUUCUAAACAAAUAUAUGUCUAGAUUAUUUAAGCCACUGACAGCUUGGGUUGUCUUGGUAUUUGUGACAGAAACUAAUACUAGUUCAAUGGCUUUUGAGUAGAGCCCUAAAAGAAAUGAGGGAGCAAAGCAUGUAGAUAUCUGGAAGAAAAAGCAUUCUAAGAGGAAAAAAAAAACAAGGGUAAAAGCUCCUGAUGUGGGGUCAUGCUCAGAGUAUUUGAGGAACAGCAAGGAAGCUAGGGUGCCU